UACAGAGGAUGCAAGCGUUAUCCGGAAUGAUUGGGCGUAAAGCGUCUGUAGGUGGCUUUUUAAGUCCGCCGUCAAAUCCCAGGGCUCAACUCUGGACAGGCGGUGGAAACUACCAAGCUGGAGUACGGUAGGGGCAGAGGGAAUUUCCGGUGGAGCGGCGAAAUGCGUAGAGAUCGGAAGGAACAUCUGUGGCGAAGGCGACUAUCUGGGCCAACACUGACACUGAGGCACGAAAGCGUGGGGAGCAAACAGG
RNAcentral lists this ribosomal RNA (253 nucleotides) under uncultured bacterium. RNAcentral describes it as "partial 16S ribosomal RNA". It matches the Rfam family "Bacterial small subunit ribosomal RNA", at positions 524 to 776 of the family's 1533-position model. The record is from RNAcentral.